GGGUGAGAAUCCCGUCUGUGACCGGUGACCGAUCCCAUGCGAAACCCCUUCGACGAGUCGAGUUGUUUGGGAAUGCAGCUCAAAAUGGGUGGUAAAUUUCAUCUAAAGCUAAAUACUGGCUGGAGACCGAUAGCGCACAAGUAGAGUGAUCGAAAGAUGAAAAGCACUUUGGAAAGAGAGUCAAAAAGUACGUGAAAUUGUUGAAAGGGAAGCGCUUGCAACCAGACCUGUCCGUGGGUGAUCAGCCGCCGUUCUCGGUGGUGCACUCGCCUACGAUCAGGCCAGCAUCGGUUCGGGCGGUCGGACAAAGGCCUUGGGAAUGUAGCUCCUCUCGGGGAGUCUUAUAGCCCUCGGUGCAAUGCGGCCAGCCCGGACCGAGGACCGCGCUUCGGCUAGGAUGCUGGCGUAAUGGUUGUAAGCGACCCGUCUUGAAACACGGACCAAGGAGUCUAACAUCUAUGCGAGUGUUUGGGUGUUAAACCCAUACGCGGAAUGAAAGUGAACGGAGGUGAGAACCCUUUAGGGCGCAUCAUCGACCGAUCCAGAUGUCUUCGGAUGGAUUUGAGUAUGAGCAUAGCUGUUGGGACCCGAAAGAUGGUGAACUAUGCCUGAAUAGGGUGAAGCCAGAGGAAACUCUGGUGGAGGCUCGCAGC
This 653-nucleotide ribosomal RNA is filed under the name Protoparmelia aff. badia A GS-2015. RNAcentral describes it as "eukaryotic LSU rRNA". It matches the Rfam family "Eukaryotic large subunit ribosomal RNA", at positions 210 to 881 of the family's 3401-position model. Lineage: Eukaryota; Fungi; Ascomycota; Lecanoromycetes; Lecanorales; Parmeliaceae. The record is from RNAcentral.